RNAcentral lists this ribosomal RNA (115 nucleotides) under Hypogymnia physodes. Its description in RNAcentral is "partial 28S ribosomal RNA". It matches the Rfam family "Eukaryotic large subunit ribosomal RNA", at positions 1 to 114 of the family's 3401-position model. RNAcentral also lists the same sequence under 6 other names. Lineage: Eukaryota; Fungi; Ascomycota; Lecanoromycetes; Lecanorales; Parmeliaceae. The record is from RNAcentral.
UUGACCUCGGAUCAGGUAGGGAUACCCGCUGAACUUAAGCAUAUCAAUAAGCGGAGGAAAAGAAACCAACAGGGAUUGCCUCAGUAACGGCGAGUGAAGCGGCAACAGCUCAAAU